UACGGGGGGGGCAAGCGUUGUUCGGAAUUACUGGGCGUAAAGGGCUCGUAGGCGGCCAACUAAGUCAGACGUGAAAUCCCUCGGCUUAACCGGGGGAACUGCGUCUGAUACUGGAUGGCUUGAGAUUGGGAGAGGGAUGCGGAAUUCCAGGUGUAGCGGUGAAAUGCGUAGAUAUCUGGAGGAACACCGGUGGCGAAGGCGGCAUCCUGGACCAACACUGACGCUGAGGAGCGAAAGCCAGGGGAGCAAAGCGGG
Molecule: ribosomal RNA, 255 nt
Filed under: uncultured bacterium
Lineage: Bacteria
Description: partial 16S ribosomal RNA
Rfam family: Bacterial small subunit ribosomal RNA
Source: RNAcentral